AUUUUGAUCUCUCUUGAAGUGAGUUGUUUUUCUUUGUUGCACUUUGCAACUGAUGGUUUAUUGCUGCACUUCUGGGGACGUGCAGUGCCUUGCUCUUUGGACUUUACAACAACACCUUCCCUGCAAAGGCUAGUUGAAAUGUGUUCUAUUUACUGACCUGGAAGGAUGAACAUAUUGUAUCACCUUUCCUUUGUCUCUUGUUUUCUCUUUUCUGAUAACAGUACUUCAGGUUGAUUUCUUACUAGAUCAUGUCAAAUGGGACGACAAAGGCCUUGCGGUUGCUAUAGCCCAAAAUGUUGAUACAGGAGCAGUCUUAAUGCAAAUGGUGUCCGGGCUAGCUUUUGGGCACCUCGACUAGUUCCACGUGAUACAUGUCAAUUAUGUUUAGCUUGUCUAGGAAUGAGUUUGUGGUUUAUUAAUACAUCAGAUAUAAUCAGGUGCAUUUUGUGUCAAUUAUGGUAUAUAUAUUGAUAACCGUGGUGUCCUGGCCAGCUUUCGCGCGCCUCGAGCCCUCAACUAGUUCCACGGAUACCUGACAAUUAUGUUUAGCUUGUUUGUGAAUGAAUUUGUAGUUUAUAAAUACAUCAGAUAUGUGUCCAUUAUGGUGGAUAUUUGUUUAAGGCUAGGGUAGUAAAAAUGAUAGUUGAGUUCCUUGUAUUUCAUUUUGAUCUCUCUUUAAGUCUUCAUAGAGGCCUAAUAAUUUGUUCAUUUUUGAGUUGCGUUUGGAUGCUAGUUGCCACAUCAUCACUAUCGGAUUACACAUUACCUAAGGAAUCUAAACCAAUAAUCAAAAUCAAAUUUUGACUUAUAUAUCUAGUCCAAUUGCUCAAUUUAGACUAUGAAAAUUCAAGAUUUCAUGGUUCAAGUUACUCCUAAUUUAUUUAUAAUAACGAGACGUGAUUUAGCUAGAACAUUAGACAGCACAUUCUUGUUUAGAGACUGUGACACGCUAUUAGAUAUCAACUAAGUUAGGUGUCUAUGAUGUGCACUGUGCCAGUAUUUUACACGUCUGGAAAAAAAAAGCUAGCGAAGUAGAAAAAGAUCGCAGGCUUUUCAUCUGUCAUUUUGAUCUCUCUUGAAGUGAGUUGUUUUUCUUUGUUGCACUUUGCAACUGAUGGUUUAUUGCUGCACUUCUGGGGACGUGCAGUGCCUUGCUCUUUGGACUUUACAACAACACCUUCCCUGCAAAGGCUAGUUGAAAUGUGUUCUAUUUACUGACCUGGAAGGAUGAACAUAUUGUAUCACCUUUCCUUUGUCUCUUGUUUUCUCUUUUCUGAUAACAGUACUUCAGGUUGAUUUCUUACUAGAUCAUGUCAAAUGGGACGACAAAGGCCUUGCGGUU
Molecule: long non-coding RNA, 1342 nt
Filed under: Solanum tuberosum (potato)
Lineage: Eukaryota; Viridiplantae; Streptophyta; Magnoliopsida; Solanales; Solanaceae
Description: long non-coding RNA (STUB_LNC011923)
Source: RNAcentral